AAAAGGUUGCCACUCAAACAGAAGAAUGAGAUUCCCUGACUUUUCCAGGUGUGUUUCAAGAAAUUUCCAGGCUAUUUGCGUAGUGCGCUUUGGUUGUGCUCAGGGUUUCACCAUUGGACAAGAAGACCAGUAGCUCCGCCCUCCUGCACCCAAGUACCUCCACAGACAAUGCCUUUCAACUCAGAUGAGCUCUCGUCAUUCUGACGCUAGCACAUAAUAACAGCUAUGCUGUAUUGCAUGUUUAGGAUAACGGUAGCAUUUACAUUUACACCACCGGACAUCAUUAGGAGAACUUUUUCAACACUUGCUGUAUCCAAAGACUCUAAUAUCGCACUUUCACGAGAUUUUUAUCUCAAUUACAAACUUUGUCACAUUAGGGUAGAAAAGAUGUGCCAUUUUCGCACGAGUUCAACACAGGAUGUGGUUUGUGGUUUGAUAACCCGGGUACCUGCUGACAAGUGUUUCUAACACCUGAGUCUUCAGACGAUUUUACAUGAUACUGGUGAUGUAAAUAAAACUUACACUUAUCCAACGAUAAUUUUAAAGCAUUAUUAAUUAUCCAAUCCAAUGCAUUGAAACUGAACACAAGGCACUUUGCUUCUGCUCGUCAGACAAAGCAGACUGUUGGCUGUUUCUCUUCUUAGCACAAAGAAAUAAAAAUAUGUAAAUGUUUUCAAAUAAGCAUUAUUGGAGUGCCAAAUUAUUUGUAUCUGCAAAUGUCAAUUGAAAUAAAAAUGAAUAUUUAACCUGCU
This is a long non-coding RNA of Stegodyphus dumicola, 752 nucleotides long. The record is from RefSeq and is a predicted model, not a curated record. Lineage: Eukaryota; Metazoa; Arthropoda; Arachnida; Araneae; Eresidae.